Molecule: long non-coding RNA, 398 nt
Filed under: Capsicum annuum
Lineage: Eukaryota; Viridiplantae; Streptophyta; Magnoliopsida; Solanales; Solanaceae
Description: long non-coding RNA (CANN_LNC003922)
Source: RNAcentral
UUGAAUCUUUACAAGUACCAAGUAAAAGCCCCAUCUUUAGGAGUUUGAUUCAUACAAGCAAAACAUCGAAAUAAGCUAAAACAACAACAGGAGGAAAACAAGAAAAGCAACUCAAAACUACAACAUUAGCUCCAAAGUUCCAAUUUUUACCGCCCUAUCGAGCAACUGAUGCUUGAAUCUUUACCAGAAGCAAAAGACCCACCUUUAAUAGUUCGAUUCUUAAACUCAAAAACACCUAAUUAGAGCAUUCAACGCACACCCAAAAUCAAAUCUUGAAAUAACCCUAAUACCAACCUCAAUAAUUCACCAAUAAAUACAUACAAAAAAUAAGGAAAUACCGACCUGAAUAACAAUAAAGAUUCUGAAAAAGAUUGAAAAGAGAGAGAAAGGAAAAGGAA